GAUCGAUGAGGUAUGUUGUAGAAAUGCCACUGCCCAAGUUCCCUGUGGGCUUGGGAGGACGUCAGGCCAGGAAUUAGGGCCGGGCCCUCCAGGGCUCAUGGGUACCCAUGGAUCACAGGCCAGGGCACUGGAUGGGGCUCCAGCAGGAAGGAGGGUGCCUCACCUCGGCACAGCACUGGAUAGGGCUGGGCUCAUGAGUGUAGCUACAAUCACCAAAGCUCAGGAAGCUGGUCCAGACGAGACGAGCGUCCACGGCGUACCUCGGCUAUGCGUGGGGCCAGGUUUGGCCUGCUUCACUCCCUGCUGUGGUCGGGCUGGGCUGACCAGCAGUGACCGGCGCUUGUGCCUGCUGGCACGCAGACCAGCCCGCCUGGCAAUGGUGACAUGGCAUGGUCACCACUAAGCCCACUGUAUGAGUGUCCCAGGGCUGCUAGAACCGACGACCACACCCUGGGCGUCCCGAACAACAGAAAUGCAUUCUCUCACGGUUCUCAAAACCAAGGUGUCGGCAGGGCCGCUUCCCUACAGCCACCUCUCCCAGCUCUCGGCGGUGCCAGCAACCCUGGGCCCUCCCUGGCUUGUGGCUGCACCGCUCCAGCCUCUGCCUUCGCCUCCUCCGAGUGUCUGUGUCUUCUCUUCUCCCAAGGACACCAGUCAUUAGAUGAGGGCCCUAAUUCAGUGCGGCCGCACCGUAACUAUUUACGUCUGCAAAGACGGUCUUUCCAAACGAGCUCUCAUGCUGAGGUUCUGGGUGGACAUGAACUCGUAGGGGGUUCCUCGACCCAGAGCACCCACACUACGACGACAACAAAAUCUCACUCAAGUAACCCAUGCUCCUCGCCUUUCUCCUGCCCGCUAGCAUGCCCCCGGAGUCCCCAAGAUCCUGGUGGGGAACCGCCUGCACCUGGCGUUCAAGCGGCAGGUGCCCACGGAGCAGGCCCAGGCCUACGCCGAGCGCCUGGGCGUGACCUUCUUUGAGGUCAGCCCUCUGUGCAAUUUCAACAUCACAGAGUCGUUCACGGAGCUGGCCAGGAUCGUGCUGCUGCGGCAUGGGAUGGACCGGCUCUGGCGGCCGAGCAAGGGUAGGCCCAGGGGCUAUUCCGGGGGCCACCUCUGCCCUCCAGAUGCCGAGGUGGUUCAGCGGCCCCCUGGAUAAGUGUCUGCUUCCCGGGACCCGUCUCAAGGCCACUGUGUCCGUUCUCAGAGCAAGGCAUUUGAGAGAAGUAAUGACUACAGCUUUGUCAGAAAGCUCAUGAGGGAGCUCCUGGGAUCUGUACGUGGGCAGAGGGGACGUCGCGGCAGGGCUUGCUGCAUGUACAAGCCAGGGCCACGGGUGUCCGAGCCUUGGGAAGGCGGGAGAACAGGUGUGGGCGCCACCCCUCAUUCCCAGCCCAGGUGGGGACAUCCACUAAGCACGGUUUAUCUUUUCUCUCCCAAGUGCUGAGCUUGCAAGACCUCUGCUGCCGGGCAGUCGUGUCCUGCACGCCGGUGCACCUGGUGGACAAGCUCCCGCUCCCCAUUGCCUUAAGAAGCCACCUCAAGUCCUUCUCGAUGGCCAACGGCCUGAAUGCCAGGAUGAUGCACGGCGGUUCCUACUCCCUCACCACCAGCUCCACCCACAAAAGGAGCAGCCUCCGCAAAGUGAAGCUCGUCCGCCCCCCCCAGAGCCCCCCCAAAAACUGCACCAGAAACAGCUGCAAAAUUUCUUAAGGAAGGCACUGAAAGAAACACGGCGGAAUCUCUCCAGGAGAAGCUCGGCGUUACCCCUGGCAGCUGGCGGAUGCAUCUCAGAUCCCGGUUCCUCUCGGCGAAUGCUGCUUGCGAAUGUGUGCGACGCCUUCCGUGUGAUGGAAACACACUACACCGUCGGACUUCGAAUUUCUACGUGGAUGUGCAUGAAGCUCUUGUUUUCGAUGUGUGUUUGUAAAGGGAAAAUUAGUACUCUGCUCGACUCUUGGUAACAUGAAAUUCUGAAUGUUACUUUAUCAUGAUUGCACUGCAACUUUUUCCUUAAAAGAACUGCUUUUGUAAGAACGGUGAUAUUGGAGUGAUUAGUAUAAAUUCAAUGAAAUUUGAGAAGCAAUGGCAGCGGGAUAAUUUACUGUCACUGAUAUUACGAGAGGGGUCUUUUUGUAAACCUCCUUUUCAAUGUCAAAGCACCAAUUUAUAAAACGCUGCAGAUGUAGAGGUUAUGUGCAACUGAUCUGUCCAGUUUGUGUAUGAAAUGGAUUUGAUAAAGUUUUUGCUAGUUAUUUACUACAUUUUGGGAUUAAUAAGUGAUUUAUAUGCAUAUUUUUCUGUAAAUCUACAGUUUUUUGUACAAGAUAUUCUACAAGUUAUGAAGCUAAGGGAAGAAAAUGCCAAAGAUACCUCUAGUUAUGUUGAACACAGCCAGCGCAGUUUCGACAGGUCAAGGAAGAGCUGUUUCAGUAAAGAAUGAAGUGAAAACACUUACUUAGGAAAAUGUUUCUCAACAAUAAAAUGUAUAGUUGUUUCUCUCUUGGU
RNAcentral lists this small RNA (2505 nucleotides) under Pan troglodytes (chimpanzee). Its description in RNAcentral is "retained intron". Lineage: Eukaryota; Metazoa; Chordata; Mammalia; Primates; Hominidae. The record is from RNAcentral.